Grus americana (Whooping crane) is the source of this 488-nucleotide long non-coding RNA. RefSeq lists it as uncharacterized. NCBI's taxonomy places the organism in Eukaryota, Metazoa, Chordata, Aves, Gruiformes, Gruidae. The transcript has 5 exons. The record is from RefSeq and is a predicted model, not a curated record.
UGGCCGUUGUAGCAACACGGUCCUUCCCCGUUCUGUUGCAGGGUCUAACCCGUUGCUGCUGGCGCUGAUGCACGGAGCUGGGAGCCAUGGCAGAGUCUCCAGGAGGGCAGGGAGGUCACGUAACACAACAAACUGCAAUGGAGCCAGGUGCCAGAUGGGAGAACGCCCAUAAACCAGAAAACGAAGAACUUCACACAAAUGAAGAGGGUUUGGCAAUUUGUGAGCUCGCAGAAGACCAGCGGCAGGCAGAGGCUGCGUAACACGGGUGAUGCCGUCUCAUCGGUGUAAGGAAAAGCAUUUUUAGAGACCUCGCAGACAGGCACCCAGAAGACAAUGAAGUAAAACCAUCUGGGGCAAUGGAAAAGAUUUUGUGGGCGCAGCAGCGUGAAGACAGGCGUACAUCUCUUGCAGUAGUCAUCAUUCAGAAGACAACCAAAAAAACGUUCCCUGCACGGAAAACUAGACUGCACACAAGCACUUGAUGGCAG